Molecule: transfer RNA, 74 nt
Filed under: Bacteroidales bacterium
Lineage: Bacteria; Pseudomonadati; Bacteroidota; Bacteroidia; Bacteroidales
Description: tRNA-Gln
Rfam family: tRNA
About the family: Transfer RNA (tRNA) molecules are approximately 80 nucleotides in length. Their secondary structure includes four short double-helical elements and three loops (D, anti-codon, and T loops).
Source: RNAcentral
UGCCCUGUUGUGUAAUGGUAGCACCACAGAUUCUGGUUCUGUUUGUCUGGGUUCGAAUCCUAGCGGGGCAACCA